AACGCGAAGAACCUUACCAGGUCUUGACAUCCUUUUGCCUUUCCUAGAGAUAGGAAUUUCCCUUCGGGGACAAAAGUGACAGGUGGUGCAUGGUUGUCGUCAGCUCGUGUCGUGAGAUGUUGGGUUAAGUCCCGCAACGAGCGCAACCCUUGUCCUUAGUUGCCAGCAUUUAGUUGGGCACUCUAAGGAGACUGCCGGUGACAAACCGGAGGAAGGUGGGGAUGACGUCAAAUCAUCAUGCCCCUUAUGACCUGGGCUACACACGUGCUACAAUGGAUGGUACAAAGGGCUGCGAGACCGCGAGGUUUAGCCAAUCCCAUAAAACCAUUCUCAGUUCGGAUUGUAGGCUGCAACUCGCCUACAUGAAGCCGGAAUCGCUAGUAAUCGUGGAUCAGCAUGCCACGGUGAAUACGUUCCCGGGCCUUGUA
This 428-nucleotide ribosomal RNA is filed under the name uncultured Bacillota bacterium. Its description in RNAcentral is "bacterial SSU rRNA". It matches the Rfam family "Bacterial small subunit ribosomal RNA", at positions 958 to 1385 of the family's 1533-position model. The record is from RNAcentral. Lineage: Bacteria; Bacillati; Bacillota.